Molecule: long non-coding RNA, 1514 nt
Filed under: Oryctolagus cuniculus (rabbit)
Lineage: Eukaryota; Metazoa; Chordata; Mammalia; Lagomorpha; Leporidae
Description: lncRNA (ENSOCUG00000031168.1)
Source: RNAcentral
AUGUUUCCAUCAAGCACCUACCACAACUUUAGAAAUAUUGAAAGAACUGUCUCCCUAAACCCUUGGUUACUUACUCUUACAGCAAGGACCUUGGGGCAACACCAGUCACUAAGACGCACCAAGGCUCCGUGGACACGAGAGCUUCAGAGGCCGGCUCCUCGGGUGCAGGCGCAUCUCCAGCUCCGCACUCCACACACUUCUGCCUUCCAAACUUUGUCUCCCUUGGUUCCUCUUACUUUUGCUCACCACACCCAGUAGGUAGCUCUCAGGAGAACAGCAUUUCAUUCUUUUCUAAUCUUUUUACCCGUGUUUACACCCUUUCCUGCUUUGCUGUUAAGGUAGCUAUGUCCAUUCUAAUUCUUUGCUUGUUUCUUACUUGUUAUUUCACAUGGGGAGUUGGGUUGAUUGAUCCAAUAACUACCUGAAAAACCAGACAAGAAAGCAAAAGUUUCACUGGUUUUCUGUUUUCUUCGAUAGGACUAGAGAUUUUUUUCUGUUAAUAAUUUAAAACUUUUAAAUCAUUCCAUUUUAUUUAUUAUUUUGUCAGCAAAACAUUAAUUCUGAAAUGCCUGCUCUAUAUCUAACUAUGUCAAUUUUCAGAAUUGCUGAAUAUCUCACUGGGUCAAAAAGAGGCACUUGUUGCUAUAUGCCAUGUAGCAUCUAGAAAACUCUUAUGCACACAGUCAGCCACACACAUAUGCGAGUCCACACACAUACUACACACACGUCUUAAUUUGGAGUCCUUAUCAUAGUCUCAGCAAAGUCUAACAAGACUUCCCCAUGAAUCCAAUUCCAGUAACUUAUGCCUAACAAAAGACGAUGUGUUAACAUAAAUACACAUCUACAAAGUGUGCUGAACUCACUGAUGGGGCAUUCUCAGUCAUAAACAACCAUAUUCUCUUUCAACAUUUGUUGCUAACGCGUAUAAUAGUAGCAGACGCAACACACAAAGCCUGAAGGAAUGAGAACAUUUGGCUCAUGCAAAGAGUAAACAGAUUUUUCAAAUAUAUUAUUUCUCAAAGAAAUAACCUGGGAUAUGAGAAAUGACUGGGAAGAAGCACGGUUAUUAAUGCAGUUUUGUUUUCCAAAUUCCUAAACCUAGCCAUAUGUUCCGCAUUAUGAAUAUGCAGAUGGCCUCAAUACAGUUAUUUUUUCUCUAAUUAAAACCAUCAGGGUAAAAUAAUGCAGUAGUUUCGGAAGCUGAUUCAGCUGGGUCUCUUUCUUUCCUUCUCUGAAAGUGCACCAAGCCUCUCCAUGUUUAUGUAAUUUGAAGAUUCUUGCUGUUAAAUGAAAAAGAGAGACGAGCAAAGCAGCAGGAAGGGUGGCUUUAUUCUUGGUGUUCCUUGUGGUAGACUGUGCAUUCGAUGAAGAAAAUGCCUUUCACAGAUGGAUUUCUCCUGGAUACUUUUGCAUAGAGCCCCCUGUGGCAUUUCCAAAGCAAGGAGUUCUCAGCAGUCAGCACCCUUGCUGGGUCUGUCCUUGAUCCAAUAAAGAUGUUGAAAUCAAGUGUAUCA